AGAGAAGCAGCUGGAAGUGAAGAACUCACCACAAAGGGUUUCUGCAGUCACACUGCCCAGCUGGCCUUAAACCUGGAAGAAUCUAGAACUAGUCCUUGAAGCUAUUACCGGCAACCAAAUUUCACCUUCUCAGCUGAAGGAUUGAUGAAUUAUUGAAUCGAGCAAGCCCUUGAUGAGGCCUCUUCCAUUCCAGACACUGUCACAGGUAAACUCCCAUGCCUGUGCACUUUUUACUCAGCCUCAUCCAUGGGAGGCCCACGCAUCCGAGAUAAAUUGAUACUUGGGAAGAUCAAAGGUUCAUCAGGAAGGCAAUUCAUUCCAACGAUCUAUCGGCUGUUUGGGUUUGUCUAGGUGGGGAAAGAAACAACAGUUCUGUGUGAGAUGCUACCAAAAUGCUGCCGAGGGGCCUGGGAGUCUGGAUGUGCCUCAAAGUGGUCCUUUGUCAGUGGUGUCAGCUGUCCCUACACCUGAUUUACUUGUUUAUUUGGCAAAUGGGGAGGAGACAUCUCCUGGGCCUGAUGCUGUGGGGGCCAACCUUUCUCUGUCAGCCCGGCGGAGAGCCAGCCAUGCUCCUGUCAAGUAGCUCAGUCCCAGAAAUUCGCUGUCAAGACAGGGGAAGAAUUAGGGUGGAGACAGAUUUUGUGUCUCCAAUGAAUCCUCAAGGCUCUGGGUCUGUCAACGUCCGGAGGCUGGAGGGGUAAGUGGGUGCUUCCUCACAUUCUCUCACACACAGAGGCCCCAGAGCUCUGAAGCAGGGUGGGGUUCUGGAGACGCUGUCCCCUGGGGCUAGCCCCGGGCUGUGGGCCCCCCACAGUAGGGCCAGUGUAAAUGACCGUGUUCCUGGCCUUGCCAAUUGCUCCCCCGGAAAUGCAGGCCAUGCCGUGAAUUUACUGUGUGAUCUUGAAUGAGCCCCUCAAUGACUCUGACCCUGGUUUUCCCAUCUAUCAAUAAUGAUCUCUGUCCAACCAUAACUGAACAAAUGUUUUCCAAAGCCCGGUUUAUUCCAAUCUCUGCCCCCACUCCCUAUCAGAAUUCCUGGGGACAUUUGUUUAAAAUAUGUGUUCCUGGAUCUCAUGCCAAGGAAUUCCGAUUUAAUGCUACUAGGAUUGGCCCAGGUGUCUGCAUCGUUAACAAACUCCCACGGUGACAUUUUAACGCAUUUCAUUUCCCUAAAUUCAUGUCCUGGUAGCACACUGAACCAUUCCAUUUAGUACUGGAUUGUGUCAUUUACAGUGUUGAUUUGCAAUUAUUUCAGUCCCAUAACACAGCCUGCUUUCAUCAUGCAAGCUUCCGGAGAGCCAACAUUCUAGUUUUUUUCCUUUUUCAAAAUUGCCCUACCAUGGAGAUUGAUUAGAAUGGAGCAGGAAGGAACUUUCUAGGGUGACAGAAAUAUGAGGGGUAUAGGUUACACUGGUGUAUCCAUUUGUCAAAGCCCACUGAAUUGUAACACAAAGAAUUUGAAUUUCACCGUAUCUAAGUUGUAAGAUACGUCAAUUAAAUAAAUUAAAUCAAUUAACAUUAAAAAGAACAAAAAAAAUGCUGACUCUAAAUUCCCAUCUAGUUCAUACAAAGGCAGCCACCAUGAAUCAUUAAUGCUUUGUUUGAGGGAUACUGUAGGCAACAUUUGAAAAGGCCGUGCAGCUAACAAUUUCUUUCUAAAUUAAACCCCUUCCCACCCUGACCACCAAUGGGGUGGCAAAGCCAAUUGCAGGGUUAGCCCUUAAGGUGGGGACCGGCAGGGACUCUGAAGUGACUCAGGGAAGUUCAAGGAGAGGAAGGAGCGUCCUGUCCAUCCCGUCCUGGCUACGGACACCAAAAGGGCCUGAGGCGCAUGUCUGAUCAAUCAGCCAAUCAGCCCCAGCUCCUGCCCUCCGCUCCUCCUGCCACUGUCACCAGGAUCAA
This is a long non-coding RNA of Ailuropoda melanoleuca (giant panda), 1902 nucleotides long. RefSeq lists it as uncharacterized. The transcript is spliced from 3 exons. The record is from RefSeq and is a predicted model, not a curated record. Lineage: Eukaryota; Metazoa; Chordata; Mammalia; Carnivora; Ursidae.